GUCCAGGUGCUAAUUUCAGUGACUGGAUUAAAAGAUGUCAAGAAGCUCAGAAUGGCGCAGAAUCUGAGGUGGGGUUAAAAAGACACCUUUUCAGUAAGGGAACUGCUUUCUCGUCCCAAGAAAACUGAGGUUGCCAACCCAGUUACAGCACCCUCAUUUCAGGUGAGCUGAGGUUCUGGGUCAGUCAUUACAGUCAUGCUAUUGUUACCAUCUCACAGGCUGCAGGUACUGGUGGCCAGAGGUAGUGGUUGGCACUGAAGACUAAAACAUAAUCAUCCUGGGUGAUUCCUCUCAAGCACUUUUUAAUGUGACUUCAGCGGGUUCCAAGCCCAGGGCAGUUACAUUUUCAAUUCAGGCCCCUUAGUUUCAAGUUACACCAUGACCUAAAUUAUGUAACUAAUUUGAGUUUGCA
Molecule: long non-coding RNA, 412 nt
Organism: Nomascus leucogenys (northern white-cheeked gibbon)
Lineage: Eukaryota; Metazoa; Chordata; Mammalia; Primates; Hylobatidae
Exons: 3
Source: RefSeq, a predicted model, not a curated record